GACGAACGCUGGCGGCGUGCUUAACACAUGCAAGUCGAACGGAAAGGCCCUGCUUUUGUGGGGUGCUCGAGUGGCGAACGGGUGAGUAACACGUGAGUAACCUGCCCUUGACUUUGGGAUAACUUCAGGAAACUGGGGCUAAUACCGGAUAGGAGCUCCUGCUGCAUGGUGGGGGUUGGAAAGUUUCGGCGGUUGGGGAUGGACUCGCGGCUUAUCAGCUUGUUGGUGGGGUAGUGGCUUACCAAGGCUUUGACGGGUAGCCGGCCUGAGCGGGUGACCGGCCACGUUGGGACUGAGAUACGGCCCAGACUCGUACGGGAGGCAGCAGUGGGGAAUAUUGCACAAUGGGCGGAAGCCUGAUGCAGCAACGCCGCGUGCGGGAUGACGGCCUUCGGGUUGGAAACCGCUUUCGCCUGUGACGAAGCGUGAGUGACGGUAAUGGGUAAAGAAGCACCGGCUAACUACGUG
This 468-nucleotide ribosomal RNA is filed under the name uncultured bacterium. RNAcentral describes it as "partial 16S ribosomal RNA". It matches the Rfam family "Bacterial small subunit ribosomal RNA", at positions 28 to 507 of the family's 1533-position model. The record is from RNAcentral.